AAUGAACGCUGGCGGCAUGCCUAACACAUGCAAGUCGAACGAGAUCUUCGGRUCUAGUGGCGCACGGGUSCGUAACCCGUGGGAAUCUACCCUUGGGUCCGGAAUAACAGCGAGAAAUUGCUGCUAAUACCGGAUGAUGACGUAAGUCCAGAGAUUUAUCGCCCAGGGGAUGAGCCCACGUAGGAUUAGGUAGUUGGUGUGGUAAAGGCGCACCAAGCCUACGAUCCUUAGCUGGUCUGAGAGGAUGAUCAGCCACACUGGGACUGGGACACGGCCCAGACUCUACGGGAGGCAGCAGUGGGGAAUAUUGGACAAUGGGCGAAAGCCUGAUCCAGCAAUGCCGCGUGAGUGAUGAAGGCCUUAGGGUUGUAAAGCUCUUUUACCCGGGAUGAUAAUGACAGUACCGGGAGAAUAAGCUCCGGCUAACUCCGUGC
RNAcentral lists this ribosomal RNA (434 nucleotides) under uncultured Alphaproteobacteria bacterium. RNAcentral describes it as "bacterial SSU rRNA". It matches the Rfam family "Bacterial small subunit ribosomal RNA", at positions 29 to 508 of the family's 1533-position model. The record is from RNAcentral. Lineage: Bacteria; Pseudomonadati; Pseudomonadota; Alphaproteobacteria.